AGUGGGAGCCCCACCACCAAAGCAUUCUCUGGUGUUGAAGGCCCUGCAAAGCAGCAUCGCGGUGGCGGAGCGUCGUUUGCGACGCCCAACACACAAAACAAGCGGUGAGUGCUUUGGGGUGGGGUGACUGCGUACCUUUUGUAUAAUGGGUCAGCGACUUAUAUUCUGUAGCAAGGUUAACCGUAUAGGGGAGCCGGAGGGAAACCGAGUCUUAACCGGGCGUUAAGUUGCAGGGUAUAGACCCGAAACCCGGUGAUCUAGCCAUGGGCAGGUUGAAGGUUGGGUAACACUAACUGGAGGACCGAACCGACUAAUGUUGAAAAAUUAGCGGAUGACCUGUGGCUGGGGGUGAAAGGCCAAUCAAACCGGGAGAUAGCUGGUUCUCCCCGAAAGCUAUUUAGGUAGCGCCUCGUGAAUUCAUCUCCGGGGGUAGAGCACUGUUUCGGCUAGGGGGCCAUCCCGGCUUACCAACCCGAUGCAAACUGCGAAUACCGGAGAAUGUUAUCACGGGAGACACACGGCGGGUGCUAACGUCCGUCGUGAAGAGGGAAACAACCCAGACCGCCAGCUAAGGUCCCAAAGUCAUGGUUAAGUGGGAAACGAUGUGGGAAGGCCCAGACAGCCAGGAUGUUGGCUUAGAAGCAGCCAUCAUUUAAAGAAAGCGUAAUAGCUCACUGGUCGAGUCGGCCUGCGCGGAAGAUGUAACGGGGCUAAACCAUGCACCGAAGCUGCGGCAGCGAACGUAUCACUUAAAGCGAUUCAGCGGGUUACGAUUGACGGAGCGAAGCGACGUCAAAGCGUAUACAAAGUCGAGUCGGUUUAAGGAUACGUUCGUUGGGUAGGGGAGCGUUCUGUAAGCCUGCGAAGGUGGCCUGUGAGGGUUGCUGGAGGUAUCAGAAGUGCGAAUGCUGACAUAAGUAACGAUAAAGCGGGUGAAAAGCCCGCUCGCCGGAAGACCAAGGGUUCCUGUCCAACGUUAAUCGGGGCAGGGUGAGUCGACCCCUAAGGCGAGGCCGAAAGGCGUAGUCGAUGGGAAACGGGUUAAUAUUCCCGUACUUGGUGUUACUGCGAAGGGGGGACGGAGAAGGCUAUGUUGGCCGGGCGACGGUUGUCCCGGUUUAAGCGUGUAGGUGUGUGUUCCAGGUAAAUCCGGUUCACUUUAACACUGAGGCGUGA
Molecule: ribosomal RNA, 1176 nt
Filed under: Salmonella enterica subsp. enterica serovar Infantis
Lineage: Bacteria; Pseudomonadati; Pseudomonadota; Gammaproteobacteria; Enterobacterales; Enterobacteriaceae
Description: partial 23S ribosomal RNA
Rfam family: Bacterial large subunit ribosomal RNA
Source: RNAcentral